AAACCGGUCCUUUUCAGGACCAACUUGAACAUUUACAAAAGAGUUUU
Lasius niger is the source of this 47-nucleotide non-coding RNA. NCBI's taxonomy places the organism in Eukaryota, Metazoa, Arthropoda, Insecta, Hymenoptera, Formicidae. The record is from Rfam.